Molecule: long non-coding RNA, 3587 nt
Filed under: Solanum lycopersicum (tomato)
Lineage: Eukaryota; Viridiplantae; Streptophyta; Magnoliopsida; Solanales; Solanaceae
Description: long non-coding RNA (SLYC_LNC000464)
Source: RNAcentral
AUAUUAAACAAACAAAAUUAAUAUUUCAAUGAGAAAAAUUAGUAAUUCGAACACAUUAUAGCUGCCAAAUUUGUUCAUAAUAUAUUUUCAUGUGAAUGUCAUACUACUGAAUGUCGAAGUGAGAUACUUACUUAGUUUAACAUUUUCAUAUGUGGGAAUACUAAUUAUAUACAUUUACAUACUGUAUAGAAUUAGACAAAAACAGAUACAUCUUUCAUGCUUGGAUCUUCUGGAUCAUCUUUGAUAAAAAAUCACCUGUUAGCACAUAAUCACAUCACAUAACUUAUACAAGACAAAAUGGAAAAAAUGUGGCAACAUUAAGCUUCAACUAAGCCUCAUCUUUGAAGCCCUAUUUCACGAUUGACAUAAGACAUUUUAUAUAAUAACACCAAUAUGAACAGAAGUAUGUUAUUUUUUUAAACUCUCUCAUAAAUAGAUCAUUUAGCAAGAUAAUGUCAAUCAGAAUAGCACAAACACUACAUUUUGUCGUAUUGGAAUAGAAUAGAGAAUUAGUGAAAGAAAAUAAGAAAGUCAAAUGUUUGGCAUGUAAAGCAUCAAUUACAAAUGUAUGAAAUGAGAUCUUAGUUAAAGAUUAAUAUUAUGUUUAUAGUGAAAGAUUGCAAAAACAGUCAAGAAAGCAAAGUGACAAUAUGACCAAACAAAGUUGAACAAAGCUCAAUAGGUGUAAAAAUGACCACCCUCAUCCAAGAUUAAGAAAAUCUUGGUAAGCCAUAAGAUACAACUCAAAAUAUUUUAUAUGUAUAAGACUAAAGGAUCAUUAUUUAUAAAGAAAUGGAUUCAUAAUGGUGACAUUAAUGUUAAAGGAUUAAUCAAUCUGGACAAAAAAUUUAUGAAAUAUCUUUAAUAUUUACCUUUAAACUUGUCUUGGAAAAAUUCAGUUCAAGAGUUUCAAAUUAGAUCAUCAGCAGAUAGUAAAUGAACAUAUGAUGACGAUAUUAAAAAUCUCAAGUUUCGAUAAAUCAUGAAGAGGUGGAAACAGAAUAACACAACCCAAAUUUUAACCCUUAUAGAGAAAGAAAAAAAUAGCAUGAUGUACAAAUAAAAUGUGAUGAAAAAUGUGAAAGAAUCAACAGAUUACUAUAGUUUUGAAAAGUAACAUACCAAUAGUAGUGUUUGAUCAAAGCCUAUUCCAGAGUUUAGAUCAAUUUUAUAGGGUCAUGAUAAACCAAAUAUAAAAUGACAUAACUUGUGCAGGUAUAUAUAUAUAUAUAAAAGAGGAAAAGUCUUUGCUAAAAGCCAAAAAAAGUGAAAACAAUAACAUACACUACUGCUAACAGCCUAAAAAGGAGGAGCCUACACCACUCCAUUUGUUAUUUUGUAAAGAAAUAUAUAUUUUCUUUAAGACACGUAUCCUUUUUACUGCUGUAAUACAUCUCAUAUAAUUAUUAUAACCAUUUCUCCUAUUUUUUCUUUUUUUCUUUUAAAUUUAAAUAUUAAUCUACAAAGAAAAAGAAAUUAUAAACACUUCUUGUACAUAUACAUCUCUAUGUUUCAUAUUUAUUUAUUUAUUUAUUAUAAUAAUUAUAAUUAUAAAUUAUUAUUCAUAUUUUUUUGGUUAGAGAAUUUUGAUAUUCAGACAAAAUGAAUGAACAUAUCAGAAAUUAAAAUUGAUUAUUUUAAAUUUAAAUAUUAAUCUUGAGAAAAAAAAUUAUAAACACUUCUUGUACAUAAACAUCUCUAUGUUUCAUAUUUUUUAUUUAUUAUAAUAAUUCCUAUAAAGCAUUUGAUUAGUGGGGGCAUCGCAAAUAAGAAAGCUCACAAAGCCAAGUGUAAGAUCUGAAACAUUAAUUAGGAUAGAUAACUUUUUUAUGAUUAAAGUUAGUAAGCUGUCGAAAAAUUGAUACGACCUACCUAUCGUGAAAUAAACAAUUAAAACAUUAUAUAAUUACAAACCAUCUCUGUUCAUUUUUAAUUACAUUAAUUUAAUAUUUUAAGCAAAGAGAAAAUUAAUAUUCAAAAAUUAUAUAAUAGUACUAUAAAUUACAAUUUUUUUCAUAUCAAUGUGAUAAAGAAUGCACUGUAAUAUAUUAGUCAAAAGGGGAAAAAUCUUUGCUAAAAGGCAAAAAAAUGAAAAACAGUAGCCUACACUGCUAAAAGCCUAAAUAGCAGGAGCCUACUCCACUCCACUUGUUAUUGUGUAAAGCAAUAUAUAUUUUCUUUAAGACACGUAUUAUAACCACUUUCCCUAUCUUUUUUUUUUAUAUAAUUUAAAUAUUAAUCUAGAAAGAAAAAUAAAUUAUAAACACUUCUUGUACAUAUACAUCUCUAUGUUUCAUAUUUUUUUAUUUAUUAUAAUAAUUAUAAUUAUAAAUUAUUAUUCAUUAAGACACGUAUUAUAACCACUUCCCCUAUAUUUUUUUUAAAAAAUUUAAAUAUUAAUCUAGAAAGAAAAAUAAAUUAUAAACACUUCUGGUAUAAAUACAUCUCUAUGUUUCAUAUUUUUUUAUUUAUUAUAAUAAUUAUUAUUAUAAAUUAUUAAUUUUUUUUGUUAGAGAUUUUUGAUAUUCAGGUCAAAGGGGGAAAAGUCUUUGCUAAAAGGCAAAAAAAUGAAGAACAACAGUCUACACUGCUAAAAGCUAGGAGCCUACUCCACUCCACCUCUUGUACAUAUACAUCUCUAUGUUUCAUAUUUUUUUUAUUUAUUAUAAUAAUUAUAAUUCAUAUUUUUUUUUGUUAGAGAUUUUUGAGAUUUCAGACAAAAUGAAUAAACAUAUCACAAAUUAAAAUUUUUUAUUUUAAAUUUAAUUAUUAACCUAGAAAGAAAAAAAAUUAUAAACACUUCUCGUACAAAUACAUCUCUAUGUUUCAUAUUUUUUUAUUUAUUAUAAUAAUUAUAAUUAUAUAUUAUUAAUUUUUUUGGUUAGAGAUUUUGAAGUUCAAUUAAUUUUGACGUGAUACAUAGAUCGAGAACUUCCCUAUUCAUCCAACGAAGUAGUUUGUGAAAAUUUGUAAAGAAAAGGGAAAUAAUUUCCAAAGAGAAAAAGCUGAAAAAAUGAAAUUCGCUUUAUAGAAAUGAAGAGAAAAAUGUUUUGUGGACUUACUCUAAUAACAUUUGAAUGAAACCAAGUUAGAGAUUGAAGAACACAUGCACUUGAAAUAGUCGCAGGGCUGUUAGAAAUCAAUAUUAUAGUUCAUAAAAGUAGAAUUUGGAACUUACAUUCCUCCAGUGCAUUUGUCAAUUCGUCACCAACAUCAUAUAUUUUUGAGAAAAACUCUCCCUACAAAAGUUUACUGAUCAUAAAAUUUAUGCAUGUUUUAAUCUCAAUUUUCUGUCAAUUCUCUACUUGCUUUCAAAGUUUAUGAUAUAAAAUUUCUAAAUUGUAUUUAUAUUAUUAUUUAUUAUUUCGUCUAAUCCUUUCUUUGACCAUGUUUUACCAAAUAAAGAAAACAUACCUGAAAUUUUGAAUUGCAAAUCGAUUAAUGGUUGUUGAAAGAAGAGAGCUGGAAGAAAUUAUGCUUUAGAAUCAUGUUUGAGUAAGUCUUGUGCUAAGGAUGAAUUUAAUUUUUUUGUUUGAAGAAAGACUGAUGUUCUACAAAAAAAUGGAUCUGCAAAAAUUUGCUAUUGA